GAUGAACGCUGGCGGCGUGCCUAAUACAUGCAAGUCGAGCGAACAGACGGGGAGCUUGCUCCGCUUACGUUAGCGGCGGACGGGUGAGUAACACGUGUAUAACCUACCUAUAAGACUGAGAUAACUUCGGGAAACCGGAUCUAAUACCGGUUAAGAUAUUGAACCUCAUGGUUCAAUAGUGAAAGACGGUUUUGCUGUCACUUAUAGAUGUAUCCUCGCCGCAUUAGCUAGUUGGUAAGGUAACGGCUUACCAAGGCAACGAUGCGUAGCCGACCUGAGAGGGUGAUCAGCCACACUGGAACUGAGACACGGUCCAGACUCCUACGGGAGGCAGCAGUAGGGAAUCUUGCGCAAUGGGCGAAAGCCUGAUGCAGCCAUGCCGCGUGAGUGAUGAAGGUCUUCGGAUCGUAAAACACUGUUAUUAGGGAAGAACAAAUGUGUAAGUAAAUAUGCAUGUCUUGACGGUACCUACUCAGAAAGCACCGGCUAACUACGUG
This 497-nucleotide ribosomal RNA is filed under the name uncultured bacterium. Its description in RNAcentral is "partial 16S ribosomal RNA". It matches the Rfam family "Bacterial small subunit ribosomal RNA", at positions 28 to 507 of the family's 1533-position model. The record is from RNAcentral.